RNAcentral lists this ribosomal RNA (281 nucleotides) under uncultured bacterium. RNAcentral's name for it is "partial 16S ribosomal RNA". It matches the Rfam family "Bacterial small subunit ribosomal RNA", at positions 75 to 353 of the family's 1533-position model. The record is from RNAcentral.
CUUGCAAACUGGAGAUGGCGACCGGCGCACGGGUGAGUAACACGUAUCCAACCUGCCGAUAACUCGGGGAUAGCCUUUCGAAAGAAAGAUUAAUACCCGAUGGCAUAAUAGAACCGCAUGGUUUGAUUAUUAAAGAAUUUCGGUUAUCGAUGGGGAUGCGUUCCAUUAGGCAGUUGGUGGGGUAACGGCCCACCAAACCUUCGAUGGAUAGGGGUUCUGAGAGGAACGGUCCCCCACAUUGGAACUGAGACACGGUCCAAACUCCUACGGGAGGCAGCAUG